GAGACAGCAGCCGCCGCGGUAAUACAGAGGGUGCGAGCGUUAAUCGGAUUUACUGGGUUUAAAGGGUCCGUAGGCGGAUCUGUAAGUCAGUGGUGAAAUCUCACAGCUUAACUGUGAAACUGCCAUUGAUACUGCAGGUCUUGAGUAAAUUUGAAGUGGCUGGAAUAAGUAGUGUAGCGGUGAAAUGCAUAGAUAUUACUUAGAACACCAAUUGCGAAGGCAGGUCACUAAGAUUUAACUGACGCUGAUGGACGAAAGCGUGGGGAGCGAACAGGAUUAGAUACCCCCGUAGUCCCUGUCUCUUAUAC
RNAcentral lists this ribosomal RNA (308 nucleotides) under uncultured bacterium. Its description in RNAcentral is "partial 16S ribosomal RNA". It matches the Rfam family "Bacterial small subunit ribosomal RNA", at positions 505 to 807 of the family's 1533-position model. The record is from RNAcentral.